Molecule: ribosomal RNA, 1517 nt
Filed under: metagenome
Description: bacterial SSU rRNA
Rfam family: Bacterial small subunit ribosomal RNA
Source: RNAcentral
AGAGUUUGAUCCUGGCUCAGAACGAACGUUGGCGGCGCGCUUAACACAUGUAAGUCGUGUGAGUGGUUGUUUUGGUGGUUUAUUAGAGUGGUGAAUGGGUGAGUAAUACGUGAGUUACCUAUCUCGGUGUUCGGGAUAGUUUUUUGAAAGAAGUGUUAGUACCGGAUACGCCUCGAUUGAUAAAUAUUGUUUGAGGGAAAGGGUGUUUUUGUAUAUGUAUUUGCAUUGAGAGGGGCUCGCGGCCCAUUAGGUAGUUGGUGAGGUAAUGGCUCACCAAGUUAUUGAUGGGUAGCUGGUCUGAGAGGAUGAUCAGCUACAUUGGCACUGAGACACGGGCUAGAUUCCUAUGGGAGGUAGUAGUGGGGAAUUUUGUGUAGUGGGCGAAAGCCUGAUGCAGCGACGCCGCGUGAGUGAAGAAGGCCUUCGGGUCGUAAAGCUCUGUUGAGGGGGAAGAAUCGCGCGUGGUCUAAUAGGCCAUGCGUUUGAUGGUACCCCUCGAGGAAGCACCGGCUAACUCCGUGCCAGUAGUUGUGGUAGUAUGGAGGGUGCAAACGUUGUUCGGAAUCACUGGGCGUAAAGGGCACGUAGGCGGCUAUGUAAGUCAGGUGUGAAGUUCCUCGGUUUAGUUGAGGAACUGUGUUUGAAAUUACUUGGCUUGAGUCCGGUAGAGGGAAGCGGAGUUCCUGGUGUAGAGGUGAGGUUUGUAGAUAUUAGGAGGAGUACCCGAGGUGAAGGUGGCUUCCUGGGCCGGUAUUGACGUUGAUGUGCGAAAGCGUGGGGAGUAGACAGGAUUAGAUGUUUUGGUAGUUUGUGUUGUAGACGAUGUUCACUAGGUGUCGCGGGUAUUUAGUCCUUGCGGUGCCGGAGCUAAUGCGAUAAGUGAACCGCCUGGGGAUUACGGCCGCAGGGUUAGAGUUUAAAGGAAUUGACGGGGGCCCGCACAAGCGGUGGAGUAUGUGGUUUAGUUUGAAGCAGUGUGUAGAACUUUACCUGGGUUUGACAUCCCUGGAACACCCUGGAAAUAGGGUGGUGCCUCUUUGAGGAGCCAGGAGAUAGGUGUUGCAUGGCUGUCGUCAGCUCGUGUUGUGAGAUGUCGGGUUGAGUUUUGUAACGAGCGUAACCCCUGUCCCUAGUUGUCAGCAUUAGGUUGGGGAUUUUAGGGAGACUGCCCCGGUGAAUGGGGAGGAAGGUGGGGACGACGUUAAGUCCUCAUGGUUUUUAUGCCCAGGGUUACACACGUACUACAAUGGGCGGUAUAGAGGGUUGUGAAUUUGUGAGGGGGAGUUAGUUUUAGAGAGCCGUCCUCAGUUCGGAUAGGAGUCUGCAACUCGACUCCUUGAAGUCGGAAUUGCUAGUAAUCGCGGAUUAGUAUGCCGCGGUGAAUAUGUUUUUGGGUUUUGUAUAUAUUGCCCGUCAUAUUAUGGGAGUUGUCUGGACCAGAAGUCGCCGGCCUAAUUUGUUUGUGGGAUGGAAGUGUUGAAGGUUUGGGUGGCGACUGGGGUGAAGUUGAAAUAGGG